AGCCCAGUAGUGUAGCGGUCAAGCAUGUGGGGCCCUGAACCCCGCGACCACGGUUCGAAUCCGUGCUGGGCUA
Molecule: transfer RNA, 73 nt
Filed under: Promethearchaeota archaeon
Lineage: Archaea; Promethearchaeati; Promethearchaeota
Description: Candidatus Lokiarchaeota archaeon (marine sediment metagenome) tRNA-Gln
Rfam family: tRNA
About the family: Transfer RNA (tRNA) molecules are approximately 80 nucleotides in length. Their secondary structure includes four short double-helical elements and three loops (D, anti-codon, and T loops).
Source: RNAcentral